Molecule: ribosomal RNA, 549 nt
Filed under: Triticum aestivum (bread wheat)
Lineage: Eukaryota; Viridiplantae; Streptophyta; Magnoliopsida; Poales; Poaceae
Description: partial small subunit ribosomal RNA
Source: RNAcentral
AUGGCCCCGCCGCCGCCAUCGCUUGACUACUGGCGCGGCUUCUUCAGCGGCGCCCGCGCCAGCAUCUUCGACACCAUCGACGCCGCCAUCUGCCUCGCGGCCGCCGACAACCCCGACGGCCUCCGCGCGCGCCGGGACGCCAUCGCGCACCGCCUCUACACCGUGCUCAACGUCCUCCCGCCGCCAGAGGACGCUGUCGUGGUGGCGGCGGCACCCGCAUUCCCCGACCGGGCCAGUCGCCACGACCCCAUCGUCGCAGAGGUCUUCAGCGUCAAGACCGCUCUCGCCAGCAACCAACAAAUGUCGGAGGAGGAACUGCUCGACCUGCUCCGGAGGCUUCAGCAGUUGAAAUUCACGGCGGACGCCAUCAAGGUUACUGAGAUUGGAAAGGCAGUGAAACACCUACGGAAUUACGGCUCAAAGCAGAUUCGGAUACUCGUGCGAUCCCUCAUCAAUAACAUCUUUGGUGAGCCACAUUGUAGAGGUUGGCAGGCUAUAGUCAGUGAGUGGGUCAGCGAUGAAGGUGCCAUUGUAGGUAAGGUGCCCUAA